AGCUUCCAGUGUGCUGAACUUGUCACACCUGCCCUGAAGUUUGUGACCCUAAAUAAUGUAACCUUCUUUUAAGGGCCAUGUCUCCUCCCAGACACUGAAAUGUUUGAUGUCCUGCUGUAGGUUUCUGAGGACCCAGGAAGGACAUGGUUAAGCAAGAGCUGGGAAGAUGACCUGAGCCUGGGUCUGUCACCAUAACUCUGCAAGAUGGGAGCACCCCUGCUCUAAGUGAUAACAUGGACAGUGACCUAGGUGAACCUUGUCCAGUGGCACUGGCCAGUGGAUGAAGUAGGAGUUGGUCUCCUGUUUGCUCUGAAGUUCUUGUCACUGCUCUUGUUCCCAGUCUGACUCCUGUCUGAUGUAUUCCUGGAUCCUUUGGUGGUGAUGGGCACAAAGCCUAUCCAUUCCCAAACCAGUUCUACCCUGCUGUUUUCUCCUCUGCUCUAAGAUCAUUCUUUUCUCCUGUUAUCAUUCUUUCUUCCAGUUAUCUUUGGACUUAGCCCCAUAGUGAAAAAUUCCAGAACUUGGUAUGGGGACUGGAGCCCUAUAGAGCAGAUAUGGGAUAAAAUAGAUGAAACUGAGCUUCACUUGUAAUAUUCGAAUUUGGGAUGCAGAGACAGCAGGAUUUUGAGCUCAAUGUCAGUGUGGUCUGUAUGGAGAGUACUAGGCAAGGGCUAAGUAAAGAGAUGCUGACUCAAAACCAAAAGAAGGUUCCACAUCUCAUGCUUAUUCUAAUGAAGCAAAAAUUAAAUGUGGCAAAAUUCCAUUUCUACUAUUUAAAAUAUUAAGCAAAUAUUUUCAUAAGCACAAUUUUGAAAGCACUGACAAGAACAAAGAUCCGGUUUCAUAUGUUAAAGUCCUCAGCUGUCACUGGUGGAGAGUGUUUGUACAGCAGGGAAGUGGGCUUUAUUAAAUUGGUGAUAUGAGUGAGAUAUUUUGUAUGGCCGAGGGCUAUGCAUAUGGGCAACAUGAAACUGAGGAUUAUGACAUAAUAUGACGUGCUAUUACCUCGGAUUCAGAGUUUGACAUAGAGUUUCCUAUCUGCAUGCACACAGUAUGGACUCCCAUUGUACGGUAUCUUACUAGUUAGGAAUGUACAGGAUCACUUCAUUCCUGCACUGUCCAUGUGAAAUUCAACCUCAAAUGUGGAUGCUAUUUUACCUCAGUCAGCAUCCAGCAAGGACCUGUCUGAAGUUGUCAAAGGAGGCCAUGGAGAACCAUUUUGUUGGGAGAUUAAAGUUUCAUGUAGUUUGCUCAAACCUUGUUCAUAGACCCUGGACUGAAAGAGUAAGGAGGUAUCAGAAGCCUGUACUCAUGGCUUCAGGUGUAAAUUUAGGAGUGGAUAGAGCCCAAGUAAGACCUGAGUGGAAACACAGCCAGGCAGUGAGGGGCCACAUCCCAGCCUCCUCUCCCUGUCUGCUUCCUGCUCAGAUAACUAGUCAUUACAGCUUCAGGUGGCCAUGAUAGGUAAGGUCCUAUUAGCUGACUAAUCCCCAGCUUUCACACCACAAAACAGAAUGAGGAUUAAAUAAUGUGAACAGUGCCUUAAAUGGUGGUUCUAGUUUUAUUAUUAAUAGUAAUACCAUUAUUGUUAUUUAUUUGUGGCACUAUUUACCGGGAGAGAGAAAACACAGGUGACAACGGGAUGCACUAGAUAACAUUGGUUCCGUGACAGAGCAGGCUCUCCAGCACCCUGCCCGUGAUCCUGACCCAGGUUGGUUCAUCCACAACUGCCCACUUUCCAUCUGCCAGGCUGCCGAUCACUGCACAAAACCAGCUACUUCAAUUGAUUCGUCAUCUUCUUCAUUCCUAUUGAUCAACGGCAGUGUUGUGUCCUUACGCUCAUACCUGGGUUGGCACUGUGGCCUCUGCUGGCAGAGAGAACACCACACUGAGGUCUCAGUUUCGAUGCCCAGCAUGUGGAUUUACCGCCCUAGACACCAGUUGGGACAACUCAUGAGAACCAUGAGGAAGCUGAGCCAGUGACAUCAUGGAGUCUCAAAGGCUCUGUUGAACCUGAAAGCACUGCUAUUCUGGAAAUACGGCAGCAGGGAAAGGAAGGAAGCGGAGACUGACUGAUGCCGAACAGCAGCCGGCGAGGACUCGGGACCCCUCGUCCCAAUCCACGGUUAAUAUAGAGGUGCUGACAGGAUGGGACUCAUGGGAACUGCCUCAGCCUGCCCACUGCACGUCCUCACACUCUUGGAUGGAAGUACGAAUGAAUGCAGUGUCCAUGGAGAUGAGGAGGGAUUCCUCGAAGCUGAAGUUUCGGGUGGUCGUGAGCUGCCCCGACACGGGUGCGGCUCCUCAUCUCUGUCAACAGCCCUUUCUUCUCUGGAUUUGACAAUGCACGCAUCCAUCUUCGUGCAGAGAAACAUCUGGGCUCUUGGCAGCGCCUCACCCGACAGAACUCUGCACCAGGAGAACUCAGAGAGCAGGAGGAAGGGGAUGGAGGACCAGCACUGGUGGUCUCUGACUCAGAGGGAGAGACUCAUUCCUCUCAUCUUGCCAGAGCUCAGUGCUUUUCUUUUUUAUACUCUCAAUGAGACAACCUUUAACUUUGAGGAGAACUGAUUUA
Molecule: non-coding RNA, 2575 nt
Organism: Peromyscus maniculatus bairdii (prairie deer mouse)
Lineage: Eukaryota; Metazoa; Chordata; Mammalia; Rodentia; Cricetidae
Source: RefSeq, a predicted model, not a curated record